AUUUCCAUUAGAAUUCUGGUUUCAGCUUGAGUUCCCCUCUUUUGAUGGUUCAAUAAUUCCAACUUUCCCAAGGUUGACAAUUACUUUCUAUUAAUUUCUGGAAACUUGUUCUUUUCUAGAAGCAUGUCAACUUUUAAGCUUGCAUAAAGCCUUAACUCUAUAAACUAUAUAAUAGUAUACUGUAAAGUUUCAGCCACCUAGUAAUACAGCGAUCUAUGAACUAGUUUUCAGAACCACUCUUUAAAGAAUUGGCACAUCAAAUAGUCAAAUCCAACCACACCAUUUCUGUGACAAUAUCACAGUUAAGUUCCAUGAAACAUCACAAGAUUCAAUUAUUUACUAGUAACUGUAAACCCAAAAGCUGAUAUAAAAGAAAAGAAUAACAUCAAGCCAAAUAACCCAAAUUCUCUAUAAAGAACAGCAGGGAGUGUUACAGGGAAAUUAUUCCUCACCGAUUUAGUUUGAGGUGGAAUUC
This 475-nucleotide unclassified non-coding RNA is filed under the name Hevea brasiliensis (rubber tree). Lineage: Eukaryota; Viridiplantae; Streptophyta; Magnoliopsida; Malpighiales; Euphorbiaceae. The record is from RNAcentral.